GGAAGACUGCUGAGGGGACAGACUGCUGAGGUGAAAGUGUGGUGUUUGCUGUGAGAGUGAGCAGAUACUGCCAUAGAUCUCAGAGACCAGCAAGGCUGAAUAAGCUGAACAGGAAAUGGGGAAAGGCCACAGGCUUGCACACCAAUGGCCACAACCUGUUCACUCCCUGCAGGCAGGACACUCAUGCCGGGCCACCCUUCCUGAGGACACCUUCCUUCCCUUGCCUGGAGAGCAGCAUCCCGCCCUGGGCCACCCUCUAUGUGGAUGCCCUCCCCACUUCCCCAGGGCACUGAUUCCAAGCGCAAGGUGCACCUGCAAUAGACACUCCUCACUCCUCUAGUUCUGCCAUCCGGCCCUGGGCCAUCCUUCUGUGCAGACCCCUCCUCACCUCACUGAGGGUCUGAGUCUCCAUGCCAGGACACCCUCCCUGGCCAGGACCCGCUUCUGACCCUGCUUUGGUCUCCGACACAUGCUGGGCUGCCCCCUCCUAUGUUGGCACCCUCCUCACUCCACAUGGGCCGCAACCUCACACUGGUCCACCCGCCCCUUAUGUGAGCCUCUUUCUCACCCCAGUGGACUCAACCCUCCUGCUCUGGGCACUCUACUUCCUGCUCCCCACUCAGCUGCGGAGGCUUGCCUUGUUCUGCCUUACCUAAUGGCUUCUGAACAGAAUUUUCUGGAAGGGAGAGGAAGAAGCAGCGAGCUGGUUCUCUUGGCCUGUUCCUGGAUCCCAUCCUUCUCUUUUGUUCCCGGCUCCUCCAUUCUCUAGGAAUCUCAAUCUCUUCUGGCAUUGCUGAGUUCUCCAGGUAGGUGAGGUUUUUGCUGGCCUUCCGUGGGGCUCCCCUGCCUCCUACCCCAUUCCUGUGCUAUCUCUGAUGGCCUGGAGCUCUCUAAGGGUCAAAGCCAUGUGGGUUCUGCAGGAAACUCUGGAAGAAUGCCUCUGCUCAACACCUUACUUCGUCACAGUUGGCCAGAGAAUUCCCCAAUCAGUGUAUUGCCUGGGCGCCAUGUUUCACGGAGUUUGAUGUCAGCUUUUACAGGGUGUCUGUAGCAGCUCUGCUCUUACUCUUCUCCUUCCCUCCACAAUCUGGGCUGGGAGACAAACCUGACUGGCAGACAGCACCGUGCAUGUGGGAUUUCAUCCCAUGUCCCAGCUUAGGCCUUGUGCUGACCGAUUCAAGCCUGUAGUGCCCUCAUUCCUGUCCUCUUGAAAUAAUUAAUCUCCCCAGCUCUCAUACAAACAAACUUCUAGUUGCCCACCACCACCCAUUCUACACCUUUUAAAAGCCCAAUUGUGGGCACAGCUUGGGCUCACGCUGGACCUCCUUCAACUACCUGACUGAGCAUGCUUCUCUUACACUGUUCUCCUUCCCCUCAAUGUGCCCCAUGUGCCAAAGGUCCC
Cercocebus atys (sooty mangabey) is the source of this 1402-nucleotide long non-coding RNA. RefSeq lists it as uncharacterized. The transcript has 3 exons. The record is from RefSeq and is a predicted model, not a curated record. NCBI's taxonomy places the organism in Eukaryota, Metazoa, Chordata, Mammalia, Primates, Cercopithecidae.